UUACGGCAAUAUCACAUUGAAACAACGGUUCUCGUACGAUCACUGAAGUUAAGCAACGUAGAGUCUGGUCAGUACCUAGAUGGGUGACCACUUGGGGAUAACAGGU
Molecule: non-coding RNA, 106 nt
Organism: Acanthosepion pharaonis
Lineage: Eukaryota; Metazoa; Mollusca; Cephalopoda; Sepiida; Sepiidae
Source: the annotation of a GenBank genome assembly